UAAAAGUUAAGGUUUAAUUUAAAAAUUUAACAUAUUUUAAAAUAUGAUAUUUAAAUAAAUUUUUAACGAAUUGGAAUUUGAUGAAACAAAAUAUAGAUCCGACGACGAACCCUCCCUUUCCAGUGAGUUCUCUCUCUCCCCAUCAGUUUCUUCUCUCUCUACACGCUUAUAGCUCCAUACCUAAGAACUCUGGUUUCGAUUCGAUUCGAUUCCUACACGCUUAUCUAUCGAUUUUCGAGGUAAAAUUCAUCGACAAACAGGAAGGGGUGUGACCAAAUGUGGCUGGCAAUACCAAGGAUUGUGGGGACAUGAACAGUGGUUUGAAAUGAGUGCAGAUAUGGUUGACAUUGUUGACAAAACACAUGAUAGAGAUGGAGCUAUUGUUGAUACUCCUAAAAAGGACGAUAUGGGGAUUGAAGGGGAUGCUGAUUUUGAGCCACGAAAUGGUAUUGAGUUUGAGUCACAUGAGGCAGCAUAUUCUUUUUAUCAGGACUAUGCCAAAUCUAUGGGAUUUACAACCUCAAUAAAAAACAGUCGCCGAUCAAAGAAAUCAAAAGAAUUUAUUGAUGCCAAAUUUGCAUGUUCUAGAUAUGGAGUUACACCAGAAUCAGAUGGCGGCAGCAGUAGACGUCCGAGUGUGAAAAAGACAGACUGCAAAGCCAGCAUGCAUGUGAAGAGGCGUAAAGAUGGAAAAUGGUAUAUUCAUGAAUUUAUAAAGGAUCAUAAUCACGAGCUUUUACCAGCCCUAGCAUAUCAUUUUCGAAUUCAUAGAAAUAUAAAAUUAGCUGAAAAGAAUAAUAUCGACAUUUUGCAUGCUGUUAGUGAACGAACAAGAAAGAUGUAUGUUGAGAUGUCUAGACAAUCUGGUGGGUAUCAAAAUGUUGACAUUCUUGGUGAUGGCACAAGUUAUCAGUCUGAUAAAGGGCGAUACUUGGUUCUAGAGGAGGGAGAUGCACGAGUUAUGCUCGAGUAUUUCAUGCACAUCCAGAAGGAGAAUCCACAUUUCUUCUAUGCGAUAGAUUUGAAUGAAGAGCAACGUCUUAGAAAUUUGUUUUGGGUUGAUGCUAAAAGUAGGAAUGACUACAUCAGUUUUAGUGAUGUUGUUUUCUUUGAUAUGAGCUAUAUAAAAAGCAACGACAAGAUGCCAUUUGCUCCUUUUGUAGGGGUAAACCAUCACUUUCAGUCAAUGUUGCUUGGGUGUGCAUUGGUUGCAGGUGAGACUAAAUCAACAUUUGUUUGGGUAAUGAAGACAUGGCUUAGAGCAAUGGGUGGGCAAGCUCCCAAAGUGAUAAUCACCGAUCAAGAAAAAGCCUUAACAGCUGCAAUUGAAGAAGUUUUCCCAAGUGCACGACAUUGCUUUUCUCUUUGGCAUAUAUUAGAAAAGAUCCCUGAAGCUCUUGCUCAUGUAAUCAAAAGGCAUGAGAAUUUUAUGGGAAAAUUCAACAAGUGCAUUUUUAAGUCAUUGACAGAUGAGCAAUUUGAUAUGAGAUGGUGGAAGAUGGUCAGUAGAUUUGAACUUCAAGACGAUGAAUGGAUUCUUUCAUUAUAUGAAGAUCGUAAAAAAUGGGUGCCUACUUACAUGAGAGAUAUGUUUUUAGCUGGAAUGUCAACAACUCAGCGUGCCGAAAGUGUUAAUGCUUUCUUUGAUAAGUACAUUCAUAAGAAAAUUACUUUGAAAGAGUUUGUAAAACAAUAUGGGAUGAUUCUCCAAAAUAGGUAUGAAGAGGAAGCUAUAGCUGAUUUUGAUACAUGGCACAAACAGCCCGCCUUAAAGUCUCCUUCACCUUGGGAAAAACAAAUGUCAACAGUUUACACACAUACAAUAUUCAAGAAAUUCCAAGUUGAGGUUUUGGGUGUAGUUGGGUGCCACCCUAGAAAAGAGAGUGAAGAUGGAACAAAUGUGACAUUUAGAGUUGAUGACUGUGAAAAGGAAGAAAAUUAUGUGGUGACAUGGGAUGAGGCAAAGUCAAAUGUUUCUUGUUCGUGUCUUCUCUUUGAAUACAAAGGUUUUCUUUGCAGACAUGCGAUGAUUGUUCUCCAAAUUUGUGGUCUUUCAAGCAUCCCAUUUCAUUAUAUUUUGAAAAGGUGGACUAAACACGCAACAAGCAGGCAAUCAAUGGAUGAAGGAACAGAACGUAUACAAACUAGGGUGCAACGGUAUAAUGAUUUAUGUAAACGAGCCAUUGAACUGGGUGAGGAAGGAUCUGUGUCGGAAGAUCGUUACAAUAUUGCAUUUCGUGCACUAGUCGAAUCUCUAAAGAACUGUGUGGAUGUUAAUAAUAGAAAUGCUGCAGAAUCUAGUGGCAAUGCUCUUUGUCUUCGUGAGAUAGAAGAAGAGCAUCAAAGAAGCCUCGCAAUUAAUACAAGUAAGAAGAAGCCUGCAAAUAGGAAGAGAAAGGUACAAUCAGAGCCUGAAGCUAUGACAGUUGAGCCACAGGACAGCUUGCAGCAAAUGGACAAUCUAAGCUCAGAUGGAAUAACCCUUAAUGGCUAUUAUGGGACCCAGCAGAAUGUGCAAGGACUGUUACAAUUGAACUUGAUGGAACCGCCUCAUGAUGGUUAUUAUGUUAAUCAACAGAGCAUGCAGGGGCUGGGACAAUUGAAUUCCAUAGCACCCAACCAUGAUGGCUUUUUUGGGUCUCAACAAGGCAUGCAUGGACUGGGACAUUUGGAUUUUAGGCCACAAUCUAAUUUCAGUUACAGUUUACAGGAUAUGCCCAAUUUGAGAUCGACUCAGUUGCACACAGAUGCUAAAAGACAUGCUUAAGGAAGAAACACCAAUAAUCAAUAGCAUUUGUAGCGAGCAGUUCCUAUAUGAAGCUUCAAUUUGCAGGUUUACAUUGUACCUAACCUGAGCAACAUGUGGUAAUCAGAAAAGUGGUUGAUUCAUGGAAGUGGUUCCAGAGUGCUCCCCGGGCUGUUUCUCCAGAAUAUAAAGAAUGUCUGCAAGGGGGCGUGCGUGAGCUUGGUUACACCUUCAUGGGUACUGGAGAUUUUUGUCUGUUGUAAUCAUGUUGGAAAUGUAUAUGUUAAGUUGUAAAGAGAUGGCAAAAGAGUUUUGUUUUCAUUUCUCUUUAUGCAUUUUAAGCAAUUGAUUGAUUUAGCAAGAGCUUCUUUUGUAAAAAUUCUUCAAAAAACUAUAUAUAUAUGUAUGUGUAAAUUAUUUUUAUUUUUUAUGUAUUAAUUACAUAUAAAGAACAAUCAUAGUUGCUGUCAGCAAAGAAAAUGCUUGUGGGUGAAAUUGAAUUCGUUUUUAAUUCCAUGAUUUGCCGACACCAAUAGCAAAGUUUAGUUAAUUUGGACAGAGAAUCGGUGAAUUCAUGCUCUAAACUUACCUACCACCACUUUACGCUUCAAAUUGCAUAUACAAUAAAAUCACACCAUUUAUAGAAAUUGAAAUAGUUCAAAUAAUAAUUAAAUACUCGCUGAAUUGCUAGUGAUCCCAAGAUAAAACAGAUCAAUCAUUCUGAUCGUACACAGUUUCAUAUUUGCAGAAAUAAAUGGGCAUUAAUAAAAUCUUUUAGAAGAAAAUAAAGGAUAGCUCAACUAGUUAGAACCGGUGUGCCUCACUAAGAGGUCAAAGAUACAAGUUGUCACGGGAAAAACUCCUCCCUCCCUAGGCUAUGGCCUGACGUACCCAAAAAAAAAAAAAA
Camellia sinensis is the source of this 3653-nucleotide RNA transcript. It is a transcript of the gene named FRS (FAR1 Related Sequences) transcription factor family, with no coding region annotated. The record is from RefSeq and is a predicted model, not a curated record. Lineage: Eukaryota; Viridiplantae; Streptophyta; Magnoliopsida; Ericales; Theaceae.